This is a long non-coding RNA of Melospiza melodia melodia, 2135 nucleotides long. RefSeq lists it as uncharacterized. The record is from RefSeq and is a predicted model, not a curated record. NCBI's taxonomy places the organism in Eukaryota, Metazoa, Chordata, Aves, Passeriformes, Passerellidae. The transcript has 2 exons.
CUGAGGGGCAACCUGCUGGCUUGGUGCUGAGAACCCCUGAAAGACGAAUACUUUGAGAUAUAAAAGGAACAAACGCAAAACCCCUGAAUUUUGUCUCCUGCACGGAUGUCUGGGCUACAAAAUAUGUUACAAGAGCAUCUUCCUCUUCAGUGAAUCUUCUUUAAACCCGAGUUUUAUCUCAGGCAGGGAUGGAGCAAUCCCAUUGAUGUCACUGGGCUGAUGCUGGUGUAAAACUGGCAUGUGUGCCUGGUGAAAUAGGUCAGAGCUGGCUACUAGGAGGCACAGCUGCCGAGUCCACUGAUGAAAAGGAGCUUCUGCAGCUGAGCCACACUCCUCUCCAGGCUUGGCUUGGGACUGGCUUCCUCUAGCACCCCUCUCCAUCCAGGCAAGCAUUUUCCACAAGUCUUUGGCAGAAAAAUACCGGUUUUGUUAAGGCUCACAUCUUCUGUGGGUAAAAGCAAGAUGAAGAACUAUGUUCCUGGUGUUGUAAGGACUGCAUAUGUUUUUUUAUUUUGUUGAAUGGAAUAAAGCAGCUGAGGUAAAAGUUGUGACCACUGAUCAGCUGCUUGAUUUCACACCCUAUUUUUUGUACUGAAGUGCAAGAGAUUAUUAUUAUUCUAAUCCCAUGUGGGUACUUGAAUUCUUACAAAAGCUUUCCAUCAGAGAUGUGAAAUGAAGUGUUGUCCUUGGAGCCAUAUUAAUGCCCAAGCUGGGCCUACUCUGCCAUUACACAGAGCAUAAUUCUGUGCAGUCACUGUGCUGCUGGUGUCGAGCAUAUUGCUUUGGGAUUUCUGGGGUCAUGUAAGCUGCUAAUAAACAACACAUGUCUUUCCUACGGAUGGAUCCCUUCACUUCACACAACAGUGCCGGUGCAAUCCACCCCACACCCAUCACACCUCAUCUUUCACGGGAAGCAAAUAUUGAAAGAGAAAAAACCCCAACACACGAACCAUGAAAUAAGGAAGAAAGGAAAGUGACGUCCAAGGAACUUGGCAGAGCCCCGUGUGCCCCACGUGAGGAACUGGGCAGCUGACUUCCAGCAUCCCAGGUGAUGUAAUGUUGGUUUAAGGGCGUACACGCCUCUGUGUGCUGACGAGCAGAGCAGGCUGAGGCAAGUAGCUGCACAGACAGCUCUGGAAGCCGCUAGCAAGAAAUGCACCUUGGUGUGUGUUUGUGAAGUGGCCACCACACGCUCCCCCCGUGCCCCUUUGAUGCCGGGGAGGAAUGCUCUGCUUUCCGAACCAAAGGCACUCGGCUCUGCCUGCGGGCUGUGCGGAAAUUUGAGAAGGUGGGAAGCAAGAAGCAACUUGCUCGGUCGGGAAGGGAAAGCAGUCUGCAGCUAUUUACACUGCACGCUACAGCUCUUAAAGGAGGUGGCCGGCGUGCCUGCAGUGGUUAAAGCCCAGCUUUCUUUCUGCAGGGCUGCUCCUUGCCCCGCUGUGCUGCCCUCCUGCAGUUGGUUUUUGCCCCCAUGCGUUGCACCAGGCCGAUCCGAGGUGGUCUGGGCUCGGUGCCUCUCGCCUGAGAUCCCGCUGUGGUCUUUUCAGUCUUGCAAGGCACUGUGCUUUCGUUCCAGCGGUCUCUCCGAGGCGUGACGAGGGAAGUUCCUGUUUGUGUGUCUGUGAUGGACGUAACAGCCACUUUUACUACACGUGAGGCAUCGGGGCUUUUUGUUCCUUCCUUCUUUCUCCGACACUUUCUGGCAUUUGAGAUCCGAAGAGUCCCAUGAAAUAGUCUCUGCUGGCAGCAGCCAGUUAACCCUUCUGUGUUUCCUUCGGUGACUUGCAGCUCUGGAAUGCUUCUUCCCUUCUCAAGCACCAGAACAUUGCAGGCAGUAGCAGAUUUCAAGUACAGGACUGAGCUGAAAAAUGAUUAUAUACAAAUACAUAUGGCAAGAUCCUGCAGAAUUUAAGAAUAUUAAAUCAACAGCAGGCCAGGCAAAUUUAAUUGAAGUCUGCAGAGAUUAACUCAAGAAAGCAGUGCACCUGAAUAAAAAAGAACUACAAGUUUUAUGAAAUUACAAAAUAGUAUAUAUGACUUAUGGUGUGUUAGCAAAGCUAGGGUUGAACCAGUAUACAGUAAAAAAAAAAUAAAAUCACUUCUGGUCCUCAAUAAAGAAAAGAUUCUGCAGUUUA